RNAcentral lists this ribosomal RNA (715 nucleotides) under uncultured bacterium. Its description in RNAcentral is "bacterial SSU rRNA". It matches the Rfam family "Bacterial small subunit ribosomal RNA", at positions 57 to 787 of the family's 1533-position model. The record is from RNAcentral.
GCAGUCGAACGGAGAAUAUCGAAGCUUGCUUUGAUAUUCUUAGUGGCGGACGCCUUAAAAACCGUGAGUAACCUGCCUCUGAGAGUGGGAUAGCCUUUGGAAACGGAUGGUAAUACCGCAUGAAAUCAUAGUAUCGCAUGGUACAAUGAUCAAAGAUUUAUCGCUCAGAGAUGGACUCGCGUCUGAUUAGCUAGUUGGUAAGGUAACGGCUUACCAAGGCGACGAUCAGUAGCCGGACUGAGAGGUUGAUCGGCCACAUUGGGACUGAGACACGGCCCAGACUCCUACGGGAGGCAGCAGUGGGGAAUAUUGCACAAUGGGGGAAACCCUGAUGCAGCGAUGCCGCGUGGAGGAAGAAGGUUUUCGGAUUGUAAACUCCUGUUGAAGAGGACGAUAAUGACGGUACUCUUUUAGAAAGCCCCGGCUAACUACGUGCCAGCAGCCGCGGUAAUACGUAGGGAGCAAGCGUUGUCCGGAUUUACUGGGUGUAAAGGGUGCGUAGGCGGAUUGGCAAGUCAGAAGUGAAAUCCAUGGGCUUAACCCAUGAACUGCUUUUGAAACUGUUAGUCUUGAGUGAAGUAGAGGUAGGCGGAAUUCCCGGUGUAGCGGUGAAAUGCGUAGAGAUCGGGAGGAACACCAGUGGCGAAGGCGGCCUACUGGGCUUUAACUGACGCUGAGGCACGAAAGUGUGGGUAGCAAACAGGAUUAGAUACCC